Molecule: long non-coding RNA, 437 nt
Filed under: Elaeis guineensis (African oil palm)
Lineage: Eukaryota; Viridiplantae; Streptophyta; Magnoliopsida; Arecales; Arecaceae
Description: long non-coding RNA (EGUI_LNC032593)
Source: RNAcentral
AAACCAAAGAUCUAUCUCUCAAAGGGUUAGCUCUUAAAGAAUGAGCUCCCAAAGCCAAACUCCUAAAGGUCAAACUCCCAAAGGCUGAACUUCCAAAAGCUAAGUUCCUAAAGAUCGAGAUCCUAAGGCCAAGUUGAGAAGACUAAGGUGAAAAGAUCAAUUUGACAAGACUGAGGAAGAAGAUUGAGGUAAAAACUAACUAAAAUCAGGUCGAUCAGAAGAAGUAAGAUCGUAUCCUACUUUAAUUUUCUCAUCUACUUUAAUUUUAUUGCUUUUAUUUUAAAGUUCUUCCUGACUUAAGUAUCAGAGGAUUUGAUCGAAGCCAAUUCAAUGAGCUUUUCUCAUCUUUUUUCAUGUAGAUCAACAUCUCUUUAUGGAUUAACUAAUACCUUCUAGGCCAUCAUAGUCAGGCAAGAUUUUAGCAUCAAUAGAAUGGC